GACGAACGCUGGCGGCGUGCCUAAUACAUGCAAGUCGAACGCUUCUUUCCUCCCGAGUGCUUGCACUCAAUUGGAAAGAGGAGUGGCGGACGGGUGAGUAACACGUGGGUAACCUACCCAUCAGAGGGGGAUAACACUUGGAACAGGUGCUAAUACCGCAUAACAGUUUAUGCCGCAUGGCAUAAGAGUGAAAGGCGCUUUCGGGUGUCGCUGAUGGAUGGACCCACGGUGCAUUAGCUAGUUGGUGAGGUAACGGCUCACCAAGGCCACGAUGCAUAGCCGACCUGAGAGGGUGAUCGGCCACACUGGGACUGAGACACGGCCCAGACUCCUACGGGAGGCAGCAGUAGGGAAUCUUCGGCAAUGGGCGAAAUUCUGACCGAGCAACGCCGCGUGAGUGAAGAAGGUUUUCGGAUCGUAAAACUCUGUUGUUAGAGAAGAACAAGGACGUUAGUAACUGAACGUCCCCUGACGGUAUCUAACCAGAAAGCCACGGCUAACUACGUG
This 507-nucleotide ribosomal RNA is filed under the name uncultured bacterium. Its description in RNAcentral is "partial 16S ribosomal RNA". It matches the Rfam family "Bacterial small subunit ribosomal RNA", at positions 28 to 507 of the family's 1533-position model. The record is from RNAcentral.